GGGGCUGGGGCUCAGUGGUAGAGCGCUCACCUCGCACAGGUGGGGCACUGAGUUUGAUCCUCAGCAUCACUU
RNAcentral lists this transfer RNA (72 nucleotides) under Marmota monax (woodchuck). RNAcentral's name for it is "tRNA.Ala". The record is from RNAcentral. Lineage: Eukaryota; Metazoa; Chordata; Mammalia; Rodentia; Sciuridae.